CCUACGGGAGGCAGCAGUGAGGAAUAUUGGUCAAUGGGCGCGAGCCCGAACCAGCCAAGUCGCGUGAGGGAAGACGGUCCUUUGGAUUGUAAACCUCUUUUGUCGGGGAGCAAAAGACGCCACGCGUGGCGUUCCGAGAGUACCCGAAGAAAAAGCAUCGGCUAACUCCGUGCCAGCAGCCGCGGUAAUACGGGGGAUGCGAGCGUUAUCCGGAUUUAUUGGGUUUAAAGGGUGCGCAGGCGGAAGAUCAAGUCAGCGGUAAAAGUGAGAGGCUCAACCUCUUCGAGCCGUUGAAACUGGUUUUCUUGAGUGAGCGAGAAGUAUGCGGAAUGCGUGGUGUAGCGGUGAAAUGCAUAGAUAUCACGCAGAACUCCGAUUGCGAAGGCAGCAUACCGGCGCUCAACUGACGCUCAUGCACGAAAGUGUGGGUAUCGAACAGGAUUAGAUACCCUGGUAGUC
Molecule: ribosomal RNA, 459 nt
Filed under: uncultured bacterium
Lineage: Bacteria
Description: partial 16S ribosomal RNA
Rfam family: Bacterial small subunit ribosomal RNA
Source: RNAcentral